GUAGGUGGCAAGCGUUGUCCGGAAUUAUUGGGCGUAAAGCGCGCGCAGGCGGUUCUUUAAGUCUGAUGUGAAAGCCCACGGCUCAACCGUGGAGGGUCAUUGGAAACUGGAGAACUUGAGUACAGAAGAGGAAAGCGGAAUUCCACGUGUAGCGGUGAAAUGCGUAGAGAUGUGGAGGAACACCAGUGGCGAAGGCGGCUUUCUGGUCUGUAACUAACGCUGAGGCGCGAAAGCGUGGGGAGCAAACAGGGAUUAGAUACCCUGGUAGUCCACGCCGUAAACGAUGAGUGCUAAGUGUUAGGGGGGUUUCCGCCCCCUUAGUGCUGCAGCUAACGCAUUAAGCACUCGCCUGGGGAUACGGCCGCAAGGCUG
Molecule: ribosomal RNA, 372 nt
Filed under: uncultured organism
Description: partial 16S ribosomal RNA
Rfam family: Bacterial small subunit ribosomal RNA
Source: RNAcentral